CUGAACCAGCCAAGUAGCGUGAAGGAUGACUGCCCUAUGGGUUGUAAACUUCUUUUAUAAAGGAAUAAAGUCGGGUAUGGAUACCCGUUUGCAUGUACUUUAUGAAUAAGGAUCGGCUAACUCCGUGCCAGCAGCCGCGGUAAUACGGAGGAUCCGAGCGUUAUCCGGAUUUAUUGGGUUUAAGGGAGCGUAGAUGGAUGUUUAAGUCAGUUGUGAAAGUUUGCGG
RNAcentral lists this ribosomal RNA (226 nucleotides) under uncultured bacterium. RNAcentral's name for it is "partial 16S ribosomal RNA". It matches the Rfam family "Bacterial small subunit ribosomal RNA", at positions 383 to 607 of the family's 1533-position model. The record is from RNAcentral.